GGGCUGGCCUGCAGGGGGGGGCCCCUGCCGGUGGUCUUAAUCCAGCACCUAGGAAGGUUCGGGAAUCUGGAGAAGGCGCUGUGUGUCGAUUAAUCAAGAGUCCAGAGACAAAACAUAAUUUUGGAAGGCAUUUUGGGGAGCCAGAGAAGACUUUGCUAAAGGAACCAAGUUCUCCCUGUCUCAGGACCCCUUGCUUUUUAUUAACACAGUUUUGUCCUAAGGCAGGGCAGAUACACACAUCAAAGGCCAGGGUUUAGCAUACAGAAUCCAUUGUCAGAUUGGAAGAACUACCUAUGGCUGUCCAGGUGUUUGGCCAGCAGGAGGCCAUAACAUGUAGAUUAAAAAGCCCUUAGCUGUCUGGCAGCAAGCCAUCAUUUAUGCAUCCUUUUCAGGUUUGGGGAAGUGCCCUCUGCCAUUUCCAGCAGGAACAUAUGUGAUUCAG
Pipistrellus kuhlii (Kuhl's pipistrelle) is the source of this 442-nucleotide long non-coding RNA. RefSeq lists it as uncharacterized. The record is from RefSeq and is a predicted model, not a curated record. Lineage: Eukaryota; Metazoa; Chordata; Mammalia; Chiroptera; Vespertilionidae. The transcript has 3 exons.